AAGCUCGUAGAUUUCGGGAUCAAUGUUUCGGUCAUGCCGUUGGUAUGUACUGAUAUUAUUGAUUUCUCACCUUCUAAAGAACCGUAAUGCCAUUAAUUUGGUGUCACGGGGAAUUAGGACUGUUACCUUGAAAAAAUUAGAGUGUUUAAAGCAGGCUCACGCUUGAAUACAUUAGCAUGGAAUAAUGAAAUAGGACAUCCGAUUCUAUUUUGUUGGUUUCUAGGAUCGAUGUAAUGAUUAAUAGGGAUAGUUGGG
Molecule: ribosomal RNA, 255 nt
Filed under: uncultured Glomus
Lineage: Eukaryota; Fungi; Glomeromycota; Glomeromycetes; Glomerales; Glomeraceae
Description: partial 18S ribosomal RNA
Rfam family: Eukaryotic small subunit ribosomal RNA
Source: RNAcentral